ACUUCCGGGAGCCUGGGGCCCAGGACUGCAGCGGCUUCGGAAGGUGGGCUCUGCCAGCGGGACCAUGCUGCUCCGAGCCGCUUGGAGGCGGGCGGCAGUGGCGGUGACAGCGGCUCCAGGGCCGAAGCCCGCGGCGCCCACUCGGGGGCUGCGCCUGCGCGUUGGAGACCGUGCUCCUCAGUCUGCGGUUCCCGCAGAUACAGCCGCUGCCCCGGAGGUGGGGCCAGUGCUGCGACCUCUCUAUAUGGAUGUGCAAGCUACAACUCCUCUGGACCCCCGGGUGCUUGAUGCCAUGCUCCCUUACCUAAUCAACUACUAUGGGAACCCACACUCCCGGACACAUGCUUAUGGCUGGGAGAGUGAGGCAGCCAUGGAACGUGCUCGUCAGCAAGUAGCAUCUCUGAUUGGAGCUGAUCCUCGUGAGAUCAUUUUUACUAGUGGUGCUACUGAAUCCAACAACAUAGCAAUUAAGAUGGAGUCUCACCCUGUCGCCCAGGCUAGAGUGUAGGGGCAUGAUCUCGGCUCACUGCAACCUCUGCCUCCCAGGUUCAAGCGAUUCUCCUGCCUCAUCCUCCUGAGUAGCCGGGAUUACAGGGGGUGGCCCGAUUCUACAGGUCACGGAAAAAGCACUUGAUCACCACCCAGACAGAACACAAAUGUGUCUUGGACUCCUGCCGUUCACUGGAAGCUGAGGGCUUUCAGGUCACCUACCUCCCAGUGCAGAAGAGUGGGAUCAUUGACCUAAAGGAACUAGAGGCUGCUAUCCAGCCAGAUACUAGCCUGGUGUCAGUCAUGACUGUGAACAAUGAGAUUGGAGUGAAGCAGCCUAUUGCAGAAAUAGGGCGGAUUUGCAGUUCCAGAAAGGUAUAUUUCCAUACUGAUGCAGCCCAGGCUGUUGGAAAAAUCCCACUUGAUGUCAAUGACAUGAAAAUUGAUCUCAUGAGCAUUAGUGGUCACAAAAUCUACGGUCCCAAAGGGGUUGGUGCCAUCUACAUCCGUCGCCGGCCCCGUGUGCGUGUGGAGGCCCUGCAGAGUGGAGGGGGGCAGGAGCGGGGUAUGCGGUCUGGGACAGUGCCCACACCCUUAGUGGUGGGGCUGGGGGCUGCGUGUGAGGUGGCACAGCAAGAGAUGGAGUAUGACCACAAGCGAAUCUCAAAGUUGUCAGAGCGGCUGAUACAGAAUAUAAUGAAGAGCCUUCCAGAUGUGGUGAUGAAUGGGGACCCUAAGCACCAUUAUCCCGGCUGUAUCAACCUCUCCUUUGCAUAUGUGGAAGGGGAAAGUCUGCUGAUGGCACUGAAGGACGUUGCCUUAUCCUCAGGGAGUGCCUGCACCUCUGCAUCCCUGGAGCCCUCUUAUGUGCUUAGAGCAAUUGGCACUGAUGAGGAUUUAGCGCACUCUUCUAUCAGGUUUGGAAUUGGCCGCUUCACUACAGAGGAGGAAGUGGACUACACAGUGGAGAAAUGCAUUCAGCAUGUGAAGCGUCUUCGAGAAAUGAGCCCUCUCUGGGAGAUGGUUCAGGAUGGCAUUGACCUCAAGAGCAUCAAGUGGACCCAACACUAGAAGAAUAGGGCCCUGACUUUGUGCUGGUCUGGCCCCUCCUGCCUCACCAACCCGUGCACAACCAGACACCUUGUUACACCUAGUGGAUGCUCUAGAUUGGUAUAGACCAGUUGACUUCAGCAUCAGUCCACCUCUAUGACAGAAACACAAGAAAACUGUCUUUCCCUAGCUUCAGUUCCUUGGGUGUGGAGCACUCCCCAUUUCUUCUCGGGUCUUAAAGUGUGUGGACAUUUUCAUCCCGAAGCCAUAGAGACAUUUGCUGUCAUAUUGCUGCUGGGCACAUCUGUGCUCUUGGUGAGGAGAGCAAGAGGAACCAGAAGAAGUCUCUUUGGUCAGGGACCAUGAUGCUCUACAUGGACAUUUGAGUCUUCGUCUUCUGCUGCUGCUCGGCUGGACCAGCUUCUUUAACAGCAAGCAUAAUCCACUUCAAUGUAAUAUUUUCUGUAGCUCCAAAGGCUAUCUCUUCAUAUUGACUGCAGACAGACUGAAUGGACAGUUUCUUAGAGGGCUUGUCUCCUUUCUACCCUUGUCCUCUUUCCUUUCCUUUGACCUAAUGGAGCUAGAAAUAUGUCUGUGACUCCACCAGUUAUUCUAAUAAUUUGUUUUCUUGAAAAUUGUUAAUUUCAAGACUGGAGAAAUAAACUCACCUUCUAUUUACUCUGUGACUUUAUGAGAGGUUGAGGGAAAAGUGGAAGCUGUACUUGGGAAUUGUGGAGAAGACCGCCACUCCAUCUGAUUUGCAUAAAUGACUCAGUGGGCUUUUGUAUCUCUUCAUUUAAGAAUUAUUUGAAUGCCUGCCAGGAGCCAGAUUUGUUCUGGGUAUUAGGAAUACACUGGUUAACAGGACCAAAAAAGACCCUGCCCUCACUGAGUUUUAAAUUUUAGUGGAGAGAUGGAAAAUAAUUAAACAAAUAAACAAUGUUAUAGAUUGUGAUAAGUGCUAUGAAAGAAUUAAGUGGUAAGAGGACAUAGCAGGGAAAACCUACCAUGCUGGGUGUUUGAGGAAAGUUUUUCUGAGGAGGUAGUGCUUAUAAAUAUGAAGAGCUCGCUAAUCUAGAAAUGAGAGGUGAGAAGGAAUGGCAAGAGCUAAGGGCCUGAAGUGUGAUAAAGCACAAAGUAUUAUACUUUAGAAACCAAGAGAAGGCCAUUGUAACUAGAGCUUUUCAUUUGUGGGUCUGAACCCAUAGGUGGGUAGUUACCAGUACUUAAAAAAGGAGAUAGUAUGUUAGAGUACAUUUAUGCAUAUUUUAAGAAUAUAUUUUGAUGAUAUAUUUGAAUUUGUAUACCAGGUUAUAAAUGUAUUUCUUAUUGUGGAUAAUGGUCAAAAAAGUUUAAUUGCUUUUCAUACUUGCCAGUAGCAGGGGGACAGGAAAGUUUGAAAGCCACUGGGCUAAAGUUUGGUAAAUGUAGAUGGACAGUGGAAGGAGGAGAUGAAAUUAUAGAAUUUUUCUUGUUGAAAAAUAUCUUUUUUACUUAGAAUAAUUUUAGAUUUACUGAAAAGUUGCAAAGAUAGUAGAGUUGUAGAUCUAUUACCAGUUUUCCUCUAAUUAAAAAGUCUUACAUAAAACUA
Molecule: RNA transcript, 3130 nt
Organism: Homo sapiens (human)
Lineage: Eukaryota; Metazoa; Chordata; Mammalia; Primates; Hominidae
Gene: NFS1
Gene name: NFS1 cysteine desulfurase
Exons: 14
Source: RefSeq, marked reviewed